Molecule: long non-coding RNA, 465 nt
Organism: Gymnodraco acuticeps
Lineage: Eukaryota; Metazoa; Chordata; Actinopteri; Perciformes; Bathydraconidae
Exons: 2
Source: RefSeq, a predicted model, not a curated record
CUGUAGCUGAACUUCAGACUGUGAUGUCAGUGUGUGUGGGUGUGGUUUGCUGCAUGCAGUCUGUAUUUAAGGAGCUGUUGCUGCAGACUAACUUCACUUCCUCAGCUCAGCAGCAGACCAGCUCCUCCCUCCAGAACCAACUAUGGCCAGCAAACUUGCCCAAAAUGGUCCCUUUACUUCCUGCUCUGGUUCCUUUUCCCGCCAUCAUCAGUGUCUGCCCCGCCCCUGAUUGUUUCCACCUGUGCCCACUUACCUCAUGUAUAUAUUGUCCUGUCUCCCCUUGUUAGUUGUCGGUUCGUCUUGUUCAUUGCUCCAAGAAGUAAGAUCUAAGCCAUUGUUUAAUGAAAGUCAGUGUUUUGCCUUUUACCCUCCACGAGAGCGCUUUACGUUUGUCAGUUUGUUCAUUCCUCUAAAAGAGUGAUUUUGUUUUUUUUGCAAGUAAAGACUAUUUUUUUUCUUCAAAAA